Molecule: ribosomal RNA, 595 nt
Filed under: uncultured fungus
Lineage: Eukaryota; Fungi
Description: eukaryotic LSU rRNA
Rfam family: 5.8S ribosomal RNA (bases 240-393)
Source: RNAcentral
CUUGGUCAUUUAGAGGAAGUAAAAGUCGUAACAAGGUUUCCGUAGGUGAACCUGCGGAAGGAUCAUUAUUGAAUGAACUUGGUGUGGUUGUUGCUGGCCCUUCUCAGGGCAUGUGCACACCCACCAUCCUCAUCUCUCCACCUGUGCACCUCUUGUAGAUUUGGAUCUACGUUUUUCAUAUACCCCAUAGCAUGUAACAGAAUGUAUCAUUUGGGCGCUUGUGCCUAUAAACCUUAUACAACUUUCAGCAACGGAUCUCUUGGCUCUCGCAUCGAUGAAGAACGCAGCGAAAUGCGAUAAGUAAUGUGAAUUGCAGAAUUCAGUGAAUCAUCGAAUCUUUGAACGCACCUUGCGCUCCUUGGUAUUCCGAGGAGCAUGCCUGUUUGAGUGUCAUUAAAUUCUCAACCUUAUCAGUUGGAUGGGUGGGGGUUGCUGGCUCAGGUCAGCUCUCCUUAAAUGCAUUAGCUGGUGCGAUAUUGGUGUGAUAAUUAUCUACGCCAUGGAUUAGCACUGCUUCUAACGACACUACAUGACAAUUUGACCUCAAAUCAGGUAGGACUACCCGCUGAACUUAAGCAUAUCAAUAAGCGGAGGA